UACGUAGGUGGCAAGCGUUGUCCGGAUUUACUGGGCGUAAAGAGCGCGCAGGCGGUCGUUCAAGUCGCGUGUGAAAGCCCCCGGCUCAACUGGGGAGGGUCACGCGAUACUGAUCGACUCGAAGGCAGGAGAGGGUAGUGGAAUUCCCGGUGUAGUGGUGAAAUGCGUAGAUAUCGGGAGGAACACCAGUGGCGAAGGCGGGUCUCUGGGCCAAUACUGACGCUGAGGAGCGAAAGCGUGGGGAGCGAACAGG
RNAcentral lists this ribosomal RNA (253 nucleotides) under uncultured bacterium. RNAcentral describes it as "partial 16S ribosomal RNA". It matches the Rfam family "Bacterial small subunit ribosomal RNA", at positions 524 to 776 of the family's 1533-position model. The record is from RNAcentral.